GACGAACGCUGGCGGCGCGCUUAACACAUGCAAGUCGAGCGAGAACCAGGACUUCGGUCCUGGGGACAGCGGCGAACGGGUGAGUAACACGUGGAUAACCUGCCCUCGGCACCGGGAUAGCCCGGGGAAACUCGGAUUAAUACCGGAUAGCCCUUCCGACUCUCGAGUCGGUCCGAAAAGGUAGCUUCGGCCUCUGGCCGAGGAUGGGUCCGCGGCGGAUUAGCUUGUUGGUGGGGUAACGGCCUACCAAGGCUU
This 255-nucleotide ribosomal RNA is filed under the name uncultured Actinomycetes bacterium. RNAcentral describes it as "uncultured actinobacterium partial 16S ribosomal RNA". It matches the Rfam family "Bacterial small subunit ribosomal RNA", at positions 28 to 276 of the family's 1533-position model. The record is from RNAcentral. Lineage: Bacteria; Bacillati; Actinomycetota; Actinomycetes.